RNAcentral lists this ribosomal RNA (697 nucleotides) under uncultured Staphylococcus sp. RNAcentral's name for it is "bacterial SSU rRNA". It matches the Rfam family "Bacterial small subunit ribosomal RNA", at positions 58 to 737 of the family's 1533-position model. Lineage: Bacteria; Bacillati; Bacillota; Bacilli; Caryophanales; Staphylococcaceae. The record is from RNAcentral.
CAAGUCGAGCGAACGGACGAGAAGCUUGCUUCUCUGAUGUUAGCGGCGGACGGGUGAGUAACACGUGGAUAACCUACCUAUAAGACUGGGAUAACUUCGGGAAACCGGAGCUAAUACCGGAUAAUAUUUUGAACCGCAUGGUUCAAAAGUGAAAGACGGUCUUGCUGUCACUUAUAGAUGGAUCCGCGCUGCAUUAGCUAGUUGGUAAGGUAACGGCUUACCAAGGCAACGAUGCAUAGCCGACCUGAGAGGGUGAUCGGCCACACUGGAACUGAGACACGGUCCAGACUCCUACGGGAGGCAGCAGUAGGGAAUCUUCCGCAAUGGGCGAAAGCCUGACGGAGCAACGCCGCGUGAGUGAUGAAGGUCUUCGGAUCGUAAAACUCUGUUAUUAGGGAAGAACAUAUGUGUAAGUAACUGUGCACAUCUUGACGGUACCUAAUCAGAAAGCCACGGCUAACUACGUGCCAGCAGCCGCGGUAAUACGUAGGUGGCAAGCGUUAUCCGGAAUUAUUGGGCGUAAAGCGCGCGUAGGCGGUUUUUUAAGUCUGAUGUGAAAGCCCACGGCUCAACCGUGGAGGGUCAUUGGAAACUGGAAAACUUGAGUGCAGAAGAGGAAAGUGGAAUUCCAUGUGUAGCGGUGAAAUGCGCAGAGAUAUGGAGGAACACCAGUGGCGAAGGCGACUUUCUGGUCUGU